CUCUUGUGCUUAUCUGAGGCGACGCACUUUCACCGCACAAAAGAUGGAAAAGGAUCUCAACGCGGAGCGGACAGAUAUCGAGAUUGCGGCUGAGGAGGUUACGGAGGCCAAACAGUACCUCGUCGAUCUCGACCGCCGAAAGAACCAGUAUCGCGAGGCUCAACGAAAAAUAUUAACAACACGGCCCGAGGAGGACUUAUGGAUACUGAGCGGCGGCUCUACGUUUGUGUCUUGCGAGCUGAGCCACUCUGAUACGCUAAAGUACUUUGAAUGGCGCUUGCAGCAGUGCGACAACGAGAUCGAGAGGGCGCGAGAAGACUUAAAACUGAAAGUAGCAGCGCUGGCGGAGCUGGAGGGAGCUGACAGUGCCUUGGCGCGCCUUUAUGAAGGGUUCGAGCUGAAGGGGAUGUCUUGAAGCCAGUCGUAGGGGCUGAGUCGUGGAGGUUUCGAAAAAUAGCCUCACAGCUGCUGCUUUACAAGCUUACUAUGUUUCGAUCGAAAUUUUUUUCAUCUCGACCGAGGAACGCUCGAAAGAAGAGUAACGCGACACUUUACCGUCGCUGGUGAAGCUUGCCGCAAAAGAUAGUGUCGCUGUACACCAAGCACUUCCGAAGGCUUUCAAUGAGGUUAACAGCUUUUCUAUUGCCCACCGCUACUUCUCCUCUCCCUCUUCUUCUGCUACUGGCCUUUUUUUUCUCGCCUUUGCUGUGCUUACAUACAUCUGCAAAAG
RNAcentral lists this unclassified non-coding RNA (730 nucleotides) under Leishmania donovani. Its description in RNAcentral is "gene:LdHU3.33.2600(CDS-product:hypothetical_prote in_conserved)". Lineage: Eukaryota; Euglenozoa; Kinetoplastea; Trypanosomatida; Trypanosomatidae. The record is from RNAcentral.